AAAAAGAUACUAUAGGACGAGAAUGGAAUACCUUAGAGGGGAUAUAUUAAGAUGGAAUCAGUGGCCCCCGUGUUCCUUGGCAUGCUGCUGGUGCUCGAGGUGGCGACGCUCUUCGGGAAGAGCAACGAGGUAAGAUAAGAUCAUGCCGCCGAAGCAGACAUGAUAGAGUGGAUCAAUGGAGCUGGUCUGAAUAUACUUGGCGUAGUAAGUAUCCAAUCCUCUUUUCACCGAUCCCUUCACGUACUCCAUCGUAAACAUAGGCUUCAGGUGAGCCGGCAGCUCCCUCACCUUCAUCGCCUUAAUCUCGUUAUAGAAAUUCCUCAUCGCCAUUCUUGACGGAUCUUGAGAUCUGAAACCCUAACCCUAGUUUUUUCUUCUUCGCUCACCCAACAAGAGAGGUGAUUAAU
Molecule: long non-coding RNA, 407 nt
Filed under: Panax ginseng (ginseng)
Lineage: Eukaryota; Viridiplantae; Streptophyta; Magnoliopsida; Apiales; Araliaceae
Description: long non-coding RNA (PGIN_LNC012963)
Source: RNAcentral